GAGGGACCUUGUGUAAUUCCCCUCUAUACCCUCAGCGCUCAGCACAGUGGAUGACACCUACUAAGGAUUGGAGAUCCUGAACAAAUCAGAAAAGGGGAUAUAUUCCCAACUGCUUUGUCUUGAUGUUGGUGGUAUUGAGUAGGAAGUCGGAUGGACAAGCUGAAGUUUAAAAGAUAAAUCAGGGCUGAAUACAGUGCAAAAGUUUUCAUGGUGGAGAGUCAGGACACAUUACAUGGACAAAUGGAGCUCCCAGAGGGCUUGUGUGGAGCUCAGGAAAAUGUACAGCUUAAUCUGCUGGGCACCACAAUUCUGCUGCUUCAACUCAUUUGCUAUGGAAAAUGAGGAGUCAACAAACAAGGGAGAGAAACAGAGAUGGGGGCACUUCAUAGAGCACUUUAAGAAAUGGAAUGAGCAGUACAGAGUGUCAAGUGAAGGCAGAAGUUAAGAAAGAUGGGAAGUCCAUUGGAAAUGACCAGGAGAUCAUUGACAUUACCUGCUGAGAUAUUAAACUGAAUAAAUGCUCUGG
Molecule: long non-coding RNA, 526 nt
Organism: Herpailurus yagouaroundi (jaguarundi)
Lineage: Eukaryota; Metazoa; Chordata; Mammalia; Carnivora; Felidae
Exons: 3
Source: RefSeq, a predicted model, not a curated record